RNAcentral lists this ribosomal RNA (253 nucleotides) under uncultured bacterium. RNAcentral's name for it is "partial 16S ribosomal RNA". It matches the Rfam family "Bacterial small subunit ribosomal RNA", at positions 524 to 776 of the family's 1533-position model. The record is from RNAcentral.
UACAGAGGGUGCAAGCGUUAAUCGGAAUUACUGGGCGUAAAGCGUGUGUAGGUGGUGAGGUAAGUUAGAUGUGAAAUCCCCGAGCUCAACUUGGGAAUUGCGUUUAAAACUGCCUUGCUAGAGUGUUGUAGAGGAUAGUGGAAUUUCCAGUGUAGCGGUGAAAUGCGUAGAUAUUGGAAGGAACACCAGUGGCGAAGGCGACUAUCUGGACAAAUACUGACACUGAGACACGAGAGCAUGGGGAGCAAACAGG